Molecule: long non-coding RNA, 503 nt
Filed under: Rattus norvegicus (Norway rat)
Lineage: Eukaryota; Metazoa; Chordata; Mammalia; Rodentia; Muridae
Description: long non-coding RNA NONRATT016116
Source: RNAcentral
AACACUCUUCGGUUCUUUUUCCUCUUAUUUUUUUCUUUAUCCACUUAUUCCAAAUGAGAUGGCGGUCCUCUUCUUACCUUUGACCCAGCAUAAGUGUACUCUCAUUCUAGUUAGAUCUAAUGGUCCAACAUGAAACUGAUUUGACCUCUCUUGUAUGAUGUUAAUUCAAAGCACUGACCGAUGUCUUUCUCUCUCUAAAAAUCUCACAUUGUAGCUCCACGGUGCGAUGUACGGAAGUGGGAUCUAUCUUAGCCCAAUGUCGAGCAUAUCGUUUGGUUACUCAGGUAAUCCAGCACUGCUACUUGAUGAGCUGGGGGAUGUCGGAGGUGAACUGAAAGCAUACGUUGUAGGCAGUCUGGAAAAUUUUAAAUGUGGAAAGAAUGAUCUUCUGUUUAUUGGCAUUGAGUAGUGGAAUUUAUGGUUAGUAUGUCUUUGCAUUUUUAAAAUUUGACUAUGGAGUAAUUAAACACUUUGUAAACAGAUUUAAAUUACACAGAAUAAAA